Long non-coding RNA from Triplophysa dalaica, 2557 nucleotides. RefSeq lists it as uncharacterized. NCBI's taxonomy places the organism in Eukaryota, Metazoa, Chordata, Actinopteri, Cypriniformes, Nemacheilidae. The record is from RefSeq and is a predicted model, not a curated record. The transcript is spliced from 3 exons.
GGUAGUGCUAAAAUACAACGGAUGCAAUAUCAAUUUCGGCCACUGUCGCUCUGUGGCGCACUUACACGCUUUGCACCUCCAGGAGAUUUCAAGCCGCCAUUUUGUUUCCGCGUCUGAAAGACAGGGCACGCUCAGGACUUUGCACGUUUUAUUCAGCGCCUUCUCGUCUCAUCGACCGAUAAGUGUUAUGAUCACACAUCUCCAAGGCUGUUUGCAAAAUGGUCCCAUAGGCUACAAUUGACCUUUGACUUUUACUGCACUUUUUACUAAACUCCGGUUGCCAAGUGGGUGCGGGAGGAGUUGUGACCGAAAGGAACUGUUAUAUUGGGACCACGACUGCCUCAUGUCUGAUUUUGGGAAGUUAUAAUUCUUAUAUAUUACCAUGCAUUUUUUUAAGAAAUGUGAUGAGAUUUUAUAAAAUAGUAAUUAUUUUUUCCCCCAUUUUGUUUAUCUGUAUUGUGUAUGUGUCUUUGUUUAUCUGUUUCUUCUUACAUUGUUAAAAUGGGUUUGUUAAAUUGUGCAUACAAUAAUUUGUUUUUAUAUGUUUAUGAUGAUUUACAGAUGUCAUGUUUUGCAUUGAUAUAGUAAAGAAUGUAGCGCUUUUACGUUAACCCAAAGAUCUCUUCGCAUAGAAAUUGGUCCAAUUCUGGUAAAAAAACAAUAGCAAAACCAAAAAAAUAUAUAUAUUUAAGAUAAAAAGAUACAAAUUGUCUACAGUCCCUGACAAAAGUCAGGUCUCUUAACCUGACUUUUAAUUAAUCAAUUGGUGUUAGAAAUAGCUCAUAUGAAACGCUAAAACCCUCCCAAAUAACUUUUAAUGCACGGAAAUAAAUCAGUUUCACUGGAAAAAGAUUGAUCAUUUAAUCAAGACAGAAAGGACAAAUUUUGGCAAGACAAAAGUUUUGUUGCCUUUACAGUAAUUGAACAAAUUUACUGCAAAUACAAAAAUAUGUCAGCAAAUUAAGUAGUGGCGCUCUGAGAUCCAAAUUUAAUAUCUUGUAUGACUUCCAUGAGCUUGAAGGACUGCAUCCAUGCGGUUUGGCAAGGAUUCAUACAAUUUAUUGAUGAAGUCAUCAGGAAUAGCAAAGAAAGCAGUCUUGCAUGCCUCCCAGAGUUCAUCAAUAUUCUUUGGUUUCGUCUUCAAUGCUUCCUCUUUCAUCCUUUCAUCAUAUGUUCAAUGAUGUUCAUGUCUGGUGACUGGGCUGGCCAAUCCUGGAGCAUCUUGAUCUGCUUCGCCUUGAGGAACUUUGAUGUGGAGAUGGAACUAUGCGAUGUAGCACCAUCCUGCUGCAGAAUUUGGCUCUUUUAUGAUCUGUCGCACACCCCCAUACUGGACGUAACCCCAGACCAUGAUUUUUCCGCCUGCAAACUUCACUGUUUUCUGGGUGAAUCUCAGAUCCAUGCGGGCUCCAGUAGGUCUCCUGCAAUAUUUGCGGCGACUGUGGUGUAAUUCAACAGAAGAUUCGUCUGAAAAAUCCAUCUUUUGCCACUUUUCCAGCGUCCAUCCUUUUAGCAGGCUGUGGGCCUUGGCAAAUGCCACACGGUUUUUCAAUUGUCUUUUGUUUAGUGCUGGCUUCUGGGCACUGAUUCGACCAUGGAGGCCAUUUCGAGACAGAAUCUGACAAACUGUUCUGGUUGACACAGGGACUUCAGAUGACCAGGUCUCGUGGAGCUCUGCUGCAGUGGAAAACGGGCUGGCCUUGGAUUUUCGAGCCAACAAACGGUCCUCUCAAGCAGUUGUCUUGCGGGGUCUGCCUGACCUGGGCUUGUCAAAAACGUCUACCGUCUCUUCAAAUCUUUUUAUCCUCUGUACUUGAUGUUGAGACACAUUGAAGGUGUCUGCCACAUCAGCAGUGGAUCUUGUCUUCAGCCUCUUGAUAAUCAAAACUUUAGUCUAAUGGUGACUCUUAGGCAUGUUUGCAGAGGUCUAGUUGCAGUUGAUGUGAAGGUCUAGUGUACUGGGGUUCUAUUUAUACACACCUGAGACCUAAUUGAUCCAUUAUUAGUUACAGUUUCAUAUGACAAGGCGACAACACUUAUAUCUUUUCAAAAAUUGACUCAAUUGCCUUUACCAAGCUGUGAAUAUUACAAUCCUUUUUGACAGUUUUGUUUUGCACUGAAACAUUAUUACAAGAGAUGUUGAGAUUAAAAUGAGCCAUUUCUUGUAAAAAAAAUCUUGAUUAGAAAUAUAUUUCAGCAGCACUUCAGGUCAAUAUGUACACAAGCGACAAGACUUUUGUAAGGGAUUGUAGUUUGUAAAAAAAAACAAUUUUUUAUUGAAUAUGACAUUUACCAUGUCGUGCAAUGACAAAAGCUGUCUGAUUGAACUAAACUGAAUAGUUUUCUGUAUCUUAUAGUUACAAUACUUUUCCGGUAAAUUUCUUAAGUAGCAUAUGUGUGUGUGAUUUAAAGUUCUAAAAAUGUCAAGUGCGAUUUUUUGAUAACAUGUUUUAGUGAUUUGUUUGAGAGUUAAAGGAGGUUAUCAUUAUAAAGCACUAUACAACCCAGAAAUCGCCCCACAUAAAUUUAUGGUCAGUGGCCACAACUGGUUAUGUGG